This 148-nucleotide small RNA is filed under the name Papio anubis (olive baboon). Its description in RNAcentral is "Metazoan signal recognition particle RNA (ENSPANG00000048359.1)". Lineage: Eukaryota; Metazoa; Chordata; Mammalia; Primates; Cercopithecidae. The record is from Rfam by way of RNAcentral.
GCCGGGCGACGUGGCGGGCGCCUGUAAUCCCAGCUACUCGGGAGGCUGAGGCAGAAGAAUGGCGUGAACCCAGGAGGCGGAGCUUGCAGUGAGCUGAGAUCCGGCCACUGCACUCCAGCCUGGGCAAGAGAGCCAGACUCCGCCUCAA